UUAUUUUUUGUUGUAAGUUAUCAUUGUAUAUAAUAUUAUUUGAUUUAGCCUUCUUACAUUGCAAUAUACUCUCACUUUAUUUUUUCUUUGCUCUAUGAUAAUAUUUUUAAUUCAAGAUGUCACAUCUUAACAAAAUCUUUCUAACCUCUUUCUAGUCAUCAAAAGAAAAUAUUAUAUAGAUUUGAUUGUUCUUUCUUUCUUCCUUUCUAUAUAUAAUGAAUAGUGUUGCUCCCCAAAUUUGUAUUAGACCUACAUCAAAAAGUGAUAUUUACAAAACUUUCUUAAAAUAUUUUGCACAAAUUCAAAACGAAGUUUUUAUUUUACUUGUCAUAAAUGUCACGGUCAAGAUGUAAAAAUCUAUAUAUAAAAUAUUAGUAAUAAUAUUUUAAUACAUGGGAUGUCCCUUUUCACUUUAUUCCAUGUCCAAGAGCCAAGGCUUCCAAAGGACAACUUUUCUUCACCAAGUGGAAAACCCCCACAAAACUCCUCAUCCACCAUGACUUUUCAGAAAUGAACUUCUUCUAGACCCUAAAGCAGACCCCUCCCUCCCUCAGUCAGUGCUGCUGCAUGCUAUUUUAUUAUUCCAUUGCCUGACUUGCUUGCUUGCUUGAAGCGCUACAAAGUUACACGACCACCACGGAAUAAUGCGUCGAGACCGAGAAGCCCCCCUAUUCGGCGAUGUUCGAAGUUGGCGCGAAAGCUUUGAAUCUCGCGCUUUCUCAAGUCUAGCUCAGCAACUGGGCAAAUGCAAAAAAAACACGGGGUCCCAGCAACUGCCCACCUCAGCGCGCAACAACAACAGUAUCGCUUGCGGGACUUGGACUCUCCGUGAACACUGGAUUGUGCUCCCUCGCAAUUCUAAUUCCACUCCCUUGUAAUCUCCUCUCAGCCCACUUCAAUUCCCAUCCCAUUCCAUGAUUUGCAGCUCGUCGCAAGCUCUACAUGGAACGCAAAUUUACACUGGGUGAUGGGUUUCGCGGCCAACACCUCGCCGGCCUCGGCUUCGCUUUUGCAGACAUCGUUUCCAACGUGUUGUCUCUCCUCUUCAACGUUGUUGGGGGCGGGGAUUCUAAUUCAGUGCUGCCGGCGGUGGCGGUCGGCUCGCCCUCUAUUCUUGUAACCCAGCCAUCAAAACCCUCCUGCCCGGAUUUGGAUCACGCUGACGUUAUGCCCUCCUUGCCAUCAACACGAUGAUCUGGCACCAUCUUUUGGGUGCGGUUGGAACCUCGGAUUCAGACCUGCCCGAUUUGUGGUUGCAUGCGGCAGUGAUUGCGUCAUCGCUCCGAAAUAGAAAUCCAUUUCCUUCGA
Molecule: long non-coding RNA, 1308 nt
Filed under: Physcomitrium patens
Lineage: Eukaryota; Viridiplantae; Streptophyta; Bryopsida; Funariales; Funariaceae
Description: long non-coding RNA (PPAT_LNC003505)
Source: RNAcentral